CCUACGGGAGGCAGCAGUGAGGAAUAUUGGUCAAUGGGCGUAAGCCUGAACCAGCCAAGUCGCGUGAGGGAUGAAGGUUCUAUGGAUCGUAAACCUCUUUUAUAAGGGAAUAAAGUGUGGGACGUGUCCUGUUUUGUAUGUACCUUAUGAAUAAGGAUCGGCUAACUCCGUGCCAGCAGCCGCGGUAAUACGGAGGAUCCGAGCGUUAUCCGGAUUUAUUGGGUUUAAAGGGUGCGUAGGCGGCCUUUUAAGUCAGCGGUGAAAGUCUGUGGCUCAACCAUAGAAUUGCCGUUGAAACUGGGAGGCUUGAGUAUAGUUGAGGCAGGCGGAAUGCGUGGUGUAGCGGUGAAAUGCUUAGAUAUCACGCAGAACCCCGAUUGCGAAGGCAGCCUGCCAAGCCAUGACUGACGCUGAUGCACGAAAGCGUGGGGAUCAAACAGGAUUAGAUACCCGGGUAGUC
RNAcentral lists this ribosomal RNA (460 nucleotides) under uncultured bacterium. RNAcentral describes it as "partial 16S ribosomal RNA". It matches the Rfam family "Bacterial small subunit ribosomal RNA", at positions 338 to 795 of the family's 1533-position model. The record is from RNAcentral.